AGUCGAACGAGAAUCUACUGAAAGAGUUUUCGGACAAUGGAAGUAGAGGAAAGUGGCGGACGGGUGAGUAACGCGUGAGGAACCUGCCUUGAAGAGGGGGACAACAGUUGGAAACGACUGCUAAUACCGCAUGAAGCAUAGGGGUCGCAUGAUCUUUAUGCCAAAGAUUUAUCGCUUCAAGAUGGCCUCGCGUCUGAUUAGCUAGUUGGCGGGGUAACGGCCCACCAAGGCGACGAUCAGUAGCCGGACUGAGAGGUUGAACGGCCACAUUGGGACUGAGAUACGGCCCAGACUCCUACGGGAGGCAGCAGUGGGGAAUAUUGGGCAAUGGGCGCAAGCCUGACCCAGCAACGCCGCGUGAAGGAAGAAGGCUUUCGGGUUGUAAACUUCUUUUAAGAGGGAAGAGCAGAAGACGGUACCUUUAGAAUAAGCCACGGCUAACUACGUGCCAGCAGCCGCGGUAAUACGUAGGUGGCAAGCGUUGUCCGGAUUUACUGGGUGUAAAGGGCGUGCAGCCGGGUCUGCAAGUCAGAUGUGAAAUCCACGGGCUCAACCCAUGAACUGCAUUUGAAACUGUAGAUCUUGAGUGUCGGAGGGGCAAUCGGAAUUCCUAGUGUAGCGGUGAAAUGCGUAGAUAUUAGGAGGAACACCAGUGGCGAAGGCGGAUUGCUGGACGAUAACUGACGGUGAGGCGCGAAAGUGUGGGGAGCAAACAGGAUUAGAUACCCUGGUAGUCCACACUGUAAACGAUGAAUACUAGGUGUGCGGGGACUGACCCCCUGCGUGCCGCAGUAAACACAAUAAGUAUUCCACCUGGGGAGUACGAUCGCA
RNAcentral lists this ribosomal RNA (831 nucleotides) under uncultured bacterium. RNAcentral's name for it is "bacterial SSU rRNA". It matches the Rfam family "Bacterial small subunit ribosomal RNA", at positions 60 to 890 of the family's 1533-position model. The record is from RNAcentral.